UACGUAGGGUGCAAGCGUUGUCCGGAAUUAUUGGGCGUAAAGAGCUCGUAGGCGGCUUGUCGCGUCGUUCGUGAAAACCUGCAGCUCAACUGCAGGCUUGCGGUCGAUACGGGCAGGCUGGAGUUCGGUAGGGGAGACUGGAAUUCCUGGUGUAGCGGUGAAAUGCGUAGAUAUCGUAAGGAAGACCAGUGGCGAAGGCGGGUCUCUGGACAGUUCCUGACGCUGAGGCACGAAGGUCAGGGGAGCAAACGGG
RNAcentral lists this ribosomal RNA (253 nucleotides) under uncultured bacterium. RNAcentral's name for it is "partial 16S ribosomal RNA". It matches the Rfam family "Bacterial small subunit ribosomal RNA", at positions 524 to 776 of the family's 1533-position model. The record is from RNAcentral.